CUCUCUCACUUCCUCCGUUUGCAACCGAAAAACAGAGCAUCGGCUCUCCCUCUUCUCUCUCGCUCCACCGGCCACCAGGCAGCAUCCCAUCACCUCCCACACCUUCAAGUCGAUCGUACGCAGCUGCAGGAGGCGGCCUUGCGCUGCAGGAACCACCUGAGACGACAGCGGAGGCCGGAAAACCCGGUUUUGUUCCAAGCUUGAUAACUCGAGCAACUGGCCACGAAACCUUCCCAAACUUCACCCACAGGUUCGCCUUGACCUGCUGAAGCUCCCAGAACCUCCCUUUCACGGCGGAUCUGCCUCUGGAAGCGGCUGGAACUCGAACCCGGUUACACCGAAAACUUCGAUUAGAAGGAAUCGAGGCCUGAGGUUGCAGUUUUUACGUCGAACUUGGAGCUCGCCGGUUUCUGGGUUUUUUUUUCCGGCCAAACCGACUGGUUUGAGGUGAUUAACGGUUUUUACUUGGGCGAGCGAGUUUUGGUGUGAUUGUGAAAGUGAAGACGCAGCGGGAUAAGAGCGGGUAAUCCUGUAGGUCAGGAGAAUCAGGACGGUGAUCGUGCGGGUUAGAGUUUUUGUUAUAAUUUUACAGCAAUUGUAAUAGUGAGGUGAGUUAAGCUCAUUUGUGCCUUGUAAUUUGGUUUUUGUGAGAGCGUGUUGUAUUAAGAAUUGAGGAGCUAGGUUUUGUAAUAUUGAGUGGAGUGUGGUGUCACUGUGUGUUACUCUGAAAGAAAAAAAAAAAAAUAGACUGGUAUUUGUAUUUGUAAUAAUUUCAUGUUUCGAAUUUGGAAUACGUGUUUUCGAAAUUGGGGGC
Long non-coding RNA from Rosa chinensis, 814 nucleotides. RefSeq lists it as uncharacterized. NCBI's taxonomy places the organism in Eukaryota, Viridiplantae, Streptophyta, Magnoliopsida, Rosales, Rosaceae. The transcript has 5 exons. The record is from RefSeq and is a predicted model, not a curated record.